UUUGGGAAGUCCUCGUGUUGCAUUCCC
This 27-nucleotide ribosomal RNA is filed under the name Saccharum officinarum (sugarcane). The record is from RNAcentral. RNAcentral also lists the same sequence under 4 other names. Lineage: Eukaryota; Viridiplantae; Streptophyta; Magnoliopsida; Poales; Poaceae.